Vigna umbellata (rice bean) is the source of this 500-nucleotide non-coding RNA. Lineage: Eukaryota; Viridiplantae; Streptophyta; Magnoliopsida; Fabales; Fabaceae. The record is from RefSeq and is a predicted model, not a curated record.
UCCAUUCCACCUUUCUUCAGGGCUCCUAAAUGCAGUGCUCAAGUCAGAGAACCAAUCUAGAGAUCACGAGAAGAAGAAAAAAAAGGUCAAAGAUAAGGGUGAAAAGUACAAGAAGCAGAAGCACAGACUACAUCGAGUAAAUAAUGGAAGUUGCAUAGAAAACAUCAGAGUCAAAUCCCAUGAUCCCCAUCCCUUGCAGGUGAAGAACCAACAAAACAAGAAAAGGAAGACAGAUUCAAGCAAAGAUCCUUCUGCAUGCAAGAGAUAAAAAUGCUGUAAAGAGAGGCAGAAUUUGACUAUUUUCUCUGUGAAAUAUGUGAUCAAUUCAGAAGCUGACAGUAAACUCUAUUUUUUGUCUUAUUUAACAUUUUAUGUGCUCUUCUCCAUCCUUUAAUUUCAAAUAUGGCUCGCCAGUAAAGUUAGGAUGUCAAAAUAGGUUAUGGGCCACCACUCAGCCCGCAUUGGCAAGUCUUGCCUAGUUUGUUGAUUUUUUUUUAAAA